Molecule: long non-coding RNA, 672 nt
Filed under: Ananas comosus (pineapple)
Lineage: Eukaryota; Viridiplantae; Streptophyta; Magnoliopsida; Poales; Bromeliaceae
Description: long non-coding RNA (ACOM_LNC029015)
Source: RNAcentral
UACUCCAAAUACUCUAGAUCAAGUUUAACGGAGCCGAUCGACGAUUCGAAAGUCGCAACAUCGCAAACGAGCUGGAAGCACGGAAGGCUCCGUGCUUCCGAUAGCAUAGUAGCCUCACUAUAUAUAUAUAUAUAUAUAUCCGGCUACUAUACUCUUAUGAGUACGAUCACAUUCAUACUCAUAAGUCGUUUUCGAUGAUAGAGCUUCCGAAUCGACGAUCCAUACCGUUAAACAUUUUUUAGAGCAUUUAAAACUUCUGGAAAUUAAAUUUUAUAAUAUUUCGAUAUCAUUUACCUUACGAUCAAUAGCUCACAAAAUUGAUAAUUUUUAACAGCCGGUAUGUGAUACUUGCUAGUUUAACGGUGUAAACGAAUCGGAAUAGCUUAAAUUUUUGAUAGAAAAGUCUAUUCAUUACCUAGAUAAAGAUCAAUAACCCCGAUCUUAAAUUGAAGGAUCCGAUCAUCCAUUUUUAGGACGUCGUUCAAUUUUGACUGUUCAUUUUAUAUAUGUUUGAUGGAUUUUAUAAUGAUUUCGAAAAGUUAUGAAAUUUAUUUUCUAGUAGAAGUUUCAAAUAAUCUAGAUCAUGUUUAAUGGUGUGGAUCGUCGAUUCGGAAGCCCGAACAUCGAAAAUAACUUAUGAGUACGAAGAGCUCUAUACUCAUAAGAGUAUAG